CGGACGGGUGAGUAACGCGUGGAAAACCUGCCGUAUACUGGGGGAUAACACUUAGAAAUAGGUGCUAAUACCGCAUAAGCGCACAGCUUCGCAUGAAGCGGUGUGAAAAACUCUGGUGGUAUAUGAUGGUUCCGCGUCUGAUUAGCUAGUUGGUGGGGUAAUGGCCUACCAAGGCAACGAUCAGUAGCCGGCCUGAGAGGGUGAACGGCCACAUUGGGACUGAGACACGGCCCAAACUCCUACGGAAGGCAGCAG
This 255-nucleotide ribosomal RNA is filed under the name uncultured bacterium. Its description in RNAcentral is "partial 16S ribosomal RNA". It matches the Rfam family "Bacterial small subunit ribosomal RNA", at positions 99 to 354 of the family's 1533-position model. The record is from RNAcentral.